This 253-nucleotide ribosomal RNA is filed under the name uncultured bacterium. RNAcentral describes it as "partial 16S ribosomal RNA". It matches the Rfam family "Bacterial small subunit ribosomal RNA", at positions 524 to 776 of the family's 1533-position model. The record is from RNAcentral.
UACGAAGGGGGCUAGCGUUGCUCGGAAUCACUGGGCGUAAAGCGCACGUAGGCGGCUUUCUAAGUCAGGGGUGAAAUCCCGGAGCUCAACUCCGGAACUGCCUUUGAUACUGGAGAGCUUGAGUUCGGGAGAGGUGAGUGGAACUGCGAGUGUAGAGGUGAAAUUCGUAGAUAUUCGCAAGAACACCAGUGGCGAAGGCGGCUCACUGGCCCGAUACUGACGCUGAGGUGCGAAAGCGUGGGGAGCAAACAGG